UACGUAGGGUCCGAGCGUUGUCCGGAAUUAUUGGGCGUAAAGGGGCUCGUAGGCGGUUUGUCGCGUCGGGGAGUGAAAAACUCAGGGCUCAACCCUGAGCGUGCUUCCGAUACGGGGCAGACUAGAGGUAUGCAGGGGGAGAACGGAAUCUGGUGUAGCGGUGGAAUGCGCAGAGUAUCGAGAAGGAACACCCGGUGGGCGAAGGCGGUUCUCUGGGCAUUGACCUGACGCUGGAGGAGCGAAAGCAUGGGGGAGCGAACAGG
This 263-nucleotide ribosomal RNA is filed under the name uncultured bacterium. RNAcentral describes it as "partial 16S ribosomal RNA". It matches the Rfam family "Bacterial small subunit ribosomal RNA", at positions 524 to 776 of the family's 1533-position model. The record is from RNAcentral.